CGUUACCUCUACACCUACGGAUGAGAAUGCAAACUGCAGCCCUCUCUAAAAGGAUGGAAAUCCAAAGGAGAAUGGUGUGAAUUUUGUUCCAUAAGGCACCAAUGUGUUUGUGAAGGCAGUCGAUGUUAACUCUAUUGCAUGUUGUCGUGGGUAAAGAUGCAGGAUUCUAGAAAGCCAUUUUACAAUUACUGAUUUUAAGUUGCAAAUAGUGGAUGUAUUGCAAAGCAAUUUGUUUGUUUUUUCCCCUUUUUUUUUUUUUUUUUCUUUUAAUAAGUAUUUUGCAGCAAAUUGAAAGCAACGAGAUAAAAGAUGCGACGAAUGAGCAAGGUUCUUUCCAUGAAGGAACUUGUAUGUGUGUGGCCAAAUUUUGAGUGGCUUCUCUUUUUCUUUUGUUGGCAAUUUUUGCUGAGGCCUAAGGAUUUUGUUUGAAUAUACAUAUAUUUUGUGGAGGGACACAUAUUCAAAAAGAAUUGUAUGAAAUGAUCAAUUGUCAGUUUUUAUUCUAUGCAUAUUCUUGAGAUUUAUGGGAAAAAAA
Molecule: non-coding RNA, 535 nt
Organism: Amborella trichopoda
Lineage: Eukaryota; Viridiplantae; Streptophyta; Magnoliopsida; Amborellales; Amborellaceae
Source: RefSeq, a predicted model, not a curated record